UACGUAGGGGGCAAGCGUUGUCCGGAAUCAUUGGGCGUAAAGAGCGUGUAGGCGGCUCGGUAAGUCCGCUGUGAAAGUCCAGGGCUCAACCCUGGAAAGCCGGUGGAAGCUGUCGAGCUCGAGUCCGGAAGAGGCGAGUGGAAUUCCUGGUGUAGCGGUGAAAUGCGCAGAUAUCAGGAGGAACACCAAUGGCGAAGGCAGCUCGCUGGGACGGUACUGACGCUGAGACGCGAAAGCGUGGGGAGCAAACAGG
RNAcentral lists this ribosomal RNA (253 nucleotides) under uncultured bacterium. RNAcentral's name for it is "partial 16S ribosomal RNA". It matches the Rfam family "Bacterial small subunit ribosomal RNA", at positions 524 to 776 of the family's 1533-position model. The record is from RNAcentral.